GAUGAACGCUGGCGGCGUGCUUAACACAUGCAAGUCGAACGAAGAUGCCGGAGUGCUUGCACUUUGGCAGACUGAGUGGCGGACGGGUGAGUAACGCGUGGGUAACCUGCCUUAUACAGGGGGAUAACAGUUGGAAACGACUGCUAAUACCGCAUAAGCGCACGGUAUCGCAUGAUACAGUGUGAAAAACUCCGGUGGUAUAAGAUGGACCCGCGUCUGAUUAGCUAGUUGGUGAGGUAACGGCCCACCAAGGCGACGAUCAGUAGCCGGCCUGAGAGGAUGAACGGCCACACUGGAACUGAGACACGGUCCAGACUCCUACGGGAGGCAGCA
RNAcentral lists this ribosomal RNA (333 nucleotides) under uncultured bacterium. RNAcentral's name for it is "bacterial SSU rRNA". It matches the Rfam family "Bacterial small subunit ribosomal RNA", at positions 28 to 353 of the family's 1533-position model. The record is from RNAcentral.